CCCUUAGAUGUUCUGGGCCGCACGCGCGCUACACUGAUGAAUGCAACGAGCUCUACCCUUGACCGAAAGGCCCGGGUAAACUUGUGAAACUUCAUCGGGAUGGGGAUAGAUUAUUGCAAUUAUUAAUCUUCAACGAGGAAUUCCUAGUAAGCGCGAGUCAUCAGCUCGCGUUGAUUACGUCCCUGCCCUUUGUACACACCGCCCGUCGCUCCUACCGAUUGAAUGGUCCGGUGAAAUCUUCGGAUUGCUGACCAAGAUCCAGCAAUGGAGCUUGGUUGCGAGAAGUUGAUUAAACCUUAUUAUUUAGAGGAAGGAGAAGUCGUAACA
Molecule: ribosomal RNA, 327 nt
Filed under: uncultured eukaryote
Lineage: Eukaryota
Description: partial 18S ribosomal RNA
Rfam family: Eukaryotic small subunit ribosomal RNA
Source: RNAcentral